GACGAACGCUGGCGGCGUGCCUAACACAUGCAAGUCGAACGGAAAGGCCCUGCUCUUGCGGCGUGGUCGAGUGGCGAACGGGUGAGUAACACGUGAGUAACCUGCCCUUGACUUUGGGAUAACUGCAUGAAACUGCGGCUAAUACCGGAUAGGAGCUCCUGCUGCAUGGUGGGGGUUGGAAAGUUUCGGCGGUUGGGGAUGGACUCGGGGCUUAUCAGCUUGUUGGUGGGGUAGUGGCUUACCAAGGCUAUGACGGGUAGCCGGCCUGGGAGGGGGACCGGCCACAUUGGGACUGAGAUACGGCACAGACUGCUAUGGGAGGCAGCAGUGGAGAAUAUUGCACAAUGGGCGGAAGCCUGAUGCAGCAACGCCGCGUGCGGGAUGACGGCCUUCGGGUUGUAAACCGCUUUCGCCUGUGACGAGGCGUUAGUGACGGUAAUGGGUAAAGAAGCACCGGCUAACUACGUG
Molecule: ribosomal RNA, 468 nt
Filed under: uncultured bacterium
Lineage: Bacteria
Description: partial 16S ribosomal RNA
Rfam family: Bacterial small subunit ribosomal RNA
Source: RNAcentral